CAUGUAGGCGGUUUUUUAAGUCCGGAGUGAAAAUGCGGGGCUCAACCCCGUAUGGCUCUGGAUACUGGAAGACUUGAGUGCAGGAGAGGAAAGGGGAAUUCCCAGUGUAGCGGUGAAAUGCGUGGAUAUUGGGAGGAACACCAGUGGCGAAGGCGCCUUUCUGGACUGUGUCUGACGCUGAGAUGCGAAAGCCAGGGUAGCAACG
RNAcentral lists this ribosomal RNA (205 nucleotides) under uncultured bacterium. Its description in RNAcentral is "partial 16S ribosomal RNA". It matches the Rfam family "Bacterial small subunit ribosomal RNA", at positions 568 to 773 of the family's 1533-position model. The record is from RNAcentral.